Molecule: long non-coding RNA, 529 nt
Filed under: Salvia miltiorrhiza (redroot sage)
Lineage: Eukaryota; Viridiplantae; Streptophyta; Magnoliopsida; Lamiales; Lamiaceae
Description: long non-coding RNA (SMIL_LNC000095)
Source: RNAcentral
AUUAAUUAAUCAGGAAAAUUUAAGGAGAAGAUUAAUAUAUCAUCGGUGAGCACUCAGACGCUUAUGUUGAUAAGCAACAACACCACGAAUUCCCCAAUGAGUCCAAGCACCGGCGAAAACACGAUGUUAAGAAGCGUGGGAAUGCCGGCGAGGAUGCCGGUGGCGGAGCAUAGGAUCGGGCAGACUGUGUGGUUGAGCGGAAGAUUGACGAAGACAACGCACGGUAGGCCUGAGCCGAUAAUGGAGGGGAUAAGGCCUAUCGAAGCUAUUACGUUGGGAACACUAAUGUUGUAGAUUCCGUUCACGUUGGUGACGCCCUGCCCCACCGUGAUUGAUCCGCCGGCGAAUGGGGAUGUGCAGUUCAUCUGCACCAACACUCCGGGAAUUCCAGUAGCGCCGGCCGGACAGUUUCCGGUGGACGUACAACAAAGUUUGCCGUUUACAGUGAUCCCAUUCAAUUGGCCGUGGGCCAGAGGAGUUGCGGAGGCGAAGAGGAGGAGAACCACCACGACGAAGGCGGGAGCUUGGU